This 484-nucleotide ribosomal RNA is filed under the name uncultured bacterium. RNAcentral's name for it is "partial 16S ribosomal RNA". It matches the Rfam family "Bacterial small subunit ribosomal RNA", at positions 28 to 523 of the family's 1533-position model. The record is from RNAcentral.
GACGAACGCUGGCGGCGUGCUUAACACAUGCAAGUCGAACGGAAAGGCCCUGCUUUUGUGGGGUGCUCGAGUGGCGAACGGGUGAGUAACACGUGAGUAACCUGCCCUUGACUUUGGGAUAACUUCAGGAAACUGGGGCUAAUACCGGAUAGGAGCUCCUGCUGCAUGGUGGGGGUUGGAAAGUUUCGGCGGUUGGGGAUGGACUCGCGGCUUAUCAGCUUGUUGGUGGGGUAGUGGCUUACCAAGGGUUUGACGGGUAGCCGGCCUGAGAGGGUGACCGGCCACAUUGGGACUGAGAUACGGCCCAGACGCCUACGGGAGGCAGCAGUGGGGAAUAUUGCACAAUGGGCGGAAGCCUGAUGCAGCAACGCCGCGUGCGGGAUGACGGCCUUCGGGUUGUAAACCGCUUUCGCCUGUGACGAAGCGUGAGUGACGGUAAUGGGUAAAGAAGCACCGGCUAACUACGUGCCAGCAGCCGCAGUAA